Molecule: ribosomal RNA, 726 nt
Filed under: Lactobacillus helveticus
Lineage: Bacteria; Bacillati; Bacillota; Bacilli; Lactobacillales; Lactobacillaceae
Description: bacterial SSU rRNA
Rfam family: Bacterial small subunit ribosomal RNA
Source: RNAcentral
GCUGGGAGACGCGAGCGGCGGAUGGGUGAGUAACACGUGGGGAACCUGCCCCAUAGUCUAGGAUACCACUUGGAAACAGGUGCUAAUACCGGAUAAUAAAGCAGAUCGCAUGAUCAGCUUAUAAAAGGCGGCGUAAGCUGUCGCUAUGGGAUGGCCCCGCGGUGCAUUAGCUAGUUGGUAAGGUAACGGCUUACCAAGGCAAUGAUGCAUAGCCGAGUUGAGAGACUGAACGGCCACAUUGGGACUGAGACACGGCCCAAACUCCUACGGGAGGCAGCAGUAGGGAAUCUUCCACAAUGGACGCAAGUCUGAUGGAGCAACGCCGCGUGAGUGAAGAAGGUUUUCGGAUCGUAAAGCUCUGUUGUUGGUGAAGAAGGAUAGAGGUAGUAACUGGCCUUUAUUUGACGGUAAUCAACCAGAAAGUCACGGCUAACUACGUGCCAGCAGCCGCGGUAAUACGUAGGUGGCAAGCGUUGUCCGGAUUUAUUGGGCGUAAAGCGAGCGCAGGCGGAAGAAUAAGUCUGAUGUGAAAGCCCUCGGCUUAACCGAGGAAUUGCAUCGGAAACUGUUUUUCUUGAGUGCAGAAGAGGAGAGUGGAACUCCAUGUGUAGCGGUGGAAUGCGUAGAUAUAUGGAAGAACACCAGUGGCGAAGGCGGCUCUCUGGUCUGCAACUGACGCUGACGCUCGAAAGCAUGGGUAGCGAACAGGAUUAGAUACCCUGGUAG